ACAUCGCUGAGAAUGAGGGUGAGGAGGAGGAUUAGGCGCACUACCUUAUCUAUGUCUUGUGAACUUAUGGACAGUGUCGGAACAGUCUUGCUGUAGCCUUUGAAGGGAUGAGUUUUGAUGUUUAAAUUGCUCUUCUGAUCUGUUUUAAGCGUGGUGGAACUUCCAAUGUGAUGCUUAGAUAAUCGAGUCCAAGAAUUGUUGGUUCUUGCUUGUCUCUAUAACAUAUCAUCAGUGUUUUAUCGUUCAGUUGUUGACAUGAUUGUCAGCUUGAAAACUCUAGUCAAGCUAAGCAAUUGCAAUCUAGUUUCCUGGAGAAACGCAAUGAACCACUGCGGUCUGUCCUGGAUUCAGGGCAGGAGCUGGUUGCCGAGCGCUAUGUGCUCCCAUUGCUGUCAGCCCUGGUCUAAUUGCGCAAUCUUGUCUACAUGAGUUCGGACACCCAAGGGCAGUUGGCGCGUUGCGGGGGUGUAAUUCAGGCAUUCAGCAGCAGCCAAUUGCCACUGAUGCAGUCAGAUCUGCAAUCGUAUUUUGAUACCCAUUACUUACACUAAACCUCAUUCCUUGAUUUGAUUUCAUUUACGUGACCACUUUGUUACUUAAUCGCGUAGUACAACCAGUCUGUUUCAUUCUUGCUUGGAGUGAAUAUCAAACAAAACUAGCAAAACAAACGUCAAUUGAUAUCAAGUGCAAGAGAGAAGCGAGUAUUCAAGUUUCAAGAUUGAUCACAAUGUCAUUCAAAGUAUUGAACAGUUAUUUAGAGGAAUGUCGACAGAUACAAAGAUCGAUUCUGAGAUCAAUCGAACCAAAAGCAAAAGAACAGCACACUCAGUCAUCACUUUCACUACCAACAUUUAUUGGUGGGAAAAAAAGAUUUAAACUUCAUUGAAAGUGUGUGUAAGUUCAUCACCCAAAAAAGCUGCCAAUCAGCUUGUCUAACUAUGUUCAUGCAAGCGCCGGGGUGGGAGUGCAACCAGUGGCGACUUCAGAUGUCUUUUGUACGGAGCUGUACUUCUUUGUGAUGAACCUGAGAUAUUACAUUAAACAGUUCGAUCAUAAACUAUUCCGUUCAUACUGCAGAUAUUAGUCCUUACACAUUGAUGAUUAGUGCAAAGGCCAGAACUAUACUUUACCCAAAAAAAACUUAACAACUAGGUCCAGUUAAUUGCAUGUGUUACAUUUUGGGCAUAAGAAGAAUGCAUGGUGGAAGCUAGUGCCUAAUGCUACAAAAGCUGCACUAUAUAACAUAUUUUUCUAACUGGUGAAACAAUUGAACUUCAGUUUAAGAUGCAGAUGAAAUAUGAGUCCAAGAAGCAUUUUAUUGUCUCUGUACUACAAGUUUGCACAGGAUUUACAAGAUAAUGCUGGGAUAUCACUUUGUGCAUAACGAAUAUUUGUGCUAUGAUAAUCUGAUUCAAUAGUAUGAUACUAUGAUGCAAUAUUUGAGUUUCAUAUGCAAGCAUGGAAUGAAUACUCAUGCAUACAUGAUGACUCACAGUAUUGUCUUUAGAGUUCACACUUUGUGUUGGUUAUUUCAUAUCCUCUACGAGACAUGGGCACUCAGCUCAGUUAGUCAUCUCAAACACAGAGGGUAAGAGACACAUACCUGAAGAAAUCUCUCCAUAGCAACUCAAACAUUAACCAAUUUGUCCCAGCAUCAGAUGUGCCAUCAUCAUUCUUGGGUGUUGACCCAGAAGGAAUUGCUCUGGGAGGACAAGAAUUGCUAAUUAUAUACAGGAGCAAAUUUAUAUUGUGAUGAACUUCUGUUCAGCUAACUUGCAUACCUAGUAGCAUGCUUCUUCAACUCUUCAUACAUGAACCGUGGAGAGAGGCAACCCGUAGCAAGCCAUGGUGAAAUUUUGCAGGAGAAAUUAGCACCAUAUAUGCUAUCUCGGGUAUUGCUUUUGUCUACUUUGUUUGGCUGCAUAGAGCAUUCUGCAGCGAACUUCUUCAACCUCUCCAGAGCUUCUGCCUCACCACCAAUAAGAGUAGAGCCGACAGCAGGUUUGGAGUCCUAAAUGAUCAAAUAAGUAAAUGUAGAGAUCAGGACGCACUGCAGAGAAUGGAUCUUUGGUGUGAGCUACAGAAAACUAUGGCCAUGGCACUAACAGAAAUUAUUUAAAAGAUACGAUCCAAUCCAAUCACCAGUGUCACUGUCCACAUUAACAACUGACCAGCCUUUUUUAUUCUUUGGGAAGUAAGACACUCAGCAUUUCACUUCGACAUUGAUGUCGAGGUCCCUUUAAGAUGUCAAUGUAGUUCUACAUAUUCUUCCCAAAACAACUAAUAAGAACAUAAAACUACAGGUUUACACUGUCCCUAAAUCAAGGGGGUGGUAUUUCACAGCACAAGAUGCAAAAGACCAAUGCACAAGUUGCCAAUGUGACUCAGUUCCAAAGCUCCAAAAUGUGAAAUCUUUUUGGAGAUGUCAUUAUCGUGGAGAACAAAGCUAACUACUAAUGCACAUGAAGGUGAGAUAAUGAUAAACAAUUCAAUCGCAGAAAGAGUGGAAUUUUGGGAUUUCUCUUUGAGACAAAACCGCAAACUUCUUUUACCAUCAUACCAUAAAAAUAAUUGUACUACUGGUUUGUCCUGUGCUACUCAGACAAUCCUAUCACAGCUGUGAACAGAAAUGGAUUAAGAGAGCACUAGCACUACACAUUCAUAAUAGGACCAUGACAACCUAAACAAACGACAGGACUAAAAUUUCAUAUCCAGUUUCAGUUCAUCACUAUCAAAGAUUCAGCAUACCUAAGAUAUGUCCAAGUCUCCAAGAGUUGGAUAUUUUACAACAAAAUCUAGCUAAAUGGUCAAUGGCACUAAAACAUGCUAUAAUUAGCAACUUCCAUCCACUUCUAGUUCUAGAAGUACAAUGUACUGGAAAGUACCAGUGUACCACAAACUUUUACCACAUUUAGAGAAUAAAUUGUCAUGAUUCUGAACUGAGCGAAAGAUCUAAAAUCUAAAUGCCGACUAACCUGUGGCAUGGCUGGUGGCGCAGUGAGCCCGAGCUCGGCAAGCGUGGGGAUGUCCCCAGGCUCGAGCACGUUCUUCAUGGGAACGCACUUAACCUCCUCCGGAGCCUCGAGCACCUUCCUGACCUCUAAGCCCUUAACGGCCUCCCUGAAGCCGCCAUAGUUAGAUGGCAUGUCCUCGAGGCGGAAGGGCAGGUCCUCCACAUGGUAAAGCGUGCUACCCCAGAAGUACUUCACGUUGAUGCCCUCCUUCUCCACGGCCUUUUGCACCCUCUCCUCGGCGCGGCACUCGUCCCGCGACACCUCCCCAUGCGCGUACACAGCCUCCGCGCCCGCCGCCCGCGCGAGCUCAGGGAUGACGACCUCGGGCCUGCCCACGCGCACCACAAGAUCCCCACCGCGCGCGCGGAGGCUCCGCCGGAGGUCGGCGACGGAGUCGAGCAGGAAGUUGGCGCGGUACGGGCCGGUGCGGUCGAACCCCGAGGGCGACUUGCCGAAGUCCCGCGGGUCAAAGACGAAGACGGGGAGGAGGGAGGAUGACGCCCCGGCCGCGGCGUGGAACGGCUCGUGGUCGUGGAGUCUGAGGUCGGCCCGGAACCAGACGAGCGUGCGGCGGCGUCCCGCGGCGGCGGGCGCGCCGGACGGGAAGGAGCGGGAGAGGCCCGGCGUGGAGGCGGGCAGCGGCGAGAUGACGGAGGAGGUGGCGGAGUUGAGGCGGGUGGGGCGGCGGGACGGGGACUGCGCGCCGGAGGGGUGGAGGCAGACGGCGAGCGUGGAGAUUUGGGUGGGGAGGUGGAUGGUGGACGGGAUGGAGGCGAGUGUGGGGGCGGUCGGCGCGCGGAUAUUGAGGGAGAGCGAGAAGGAUGCGAAGGGGAGGAGGCUGGGGUCCUCGCGCGGGUGGGCGCCGGCGUCGGAGUCGGAGGCGGCGGCCAUGGUUGGUGGGAUGCGAGGAUGAAUGGGGGGAGGUGGAACAGAUUUGAUGUGGAUGAGGGAGUGAGGAUGGGUUGGUUGGAGUUGGAGACUCGAGAGUAAGGACUAGGAGGGAGGGAAGGUGGUGGGGAAUUUUGGAGCCCCACCAACCAUUUUCAGUUUUACCAGAAUCCAGAUUGGAGCUCUUGUCACCAACCCUUUCUGGUCAGAUGUGAACUUUUCAAAGGCAAAAAUUCACAAAUUCGGUAAUUUGUGUAAACUAAUGAGAUUUUUAUUUGAAAACAAAACAAAGUAGGUGUAGAAAAACAAAGGCCGACUUGUUUCUUCAUUCUUUUUCCCCCCUCAUCAUGUGUACGUACAAGACCCACCAGAUGGCUUGUUUGAACAUAGGCAAAUCAAUCGUUUUUACCGUCAUCUGAAAAAUGGGGCUUAAAACAAGUGGGGCUGCCAGUAACGGUUCAAUGAUCGGUACCCAAUACAUCUUAAUCGGAGACAUAGCAUCAUUAUCAUUUGAAAUAUCAGCACUUCAGCAGCGAAAGCAACAAAUAUAAAGAUACAACUAUUUCAGCGUACCAAAAUUUCAAAGCUCUGGUGCAGGAGCUCACAAUACUAAUAAACCAGUGGUGUGAACCUUUUCCUAUGGGUCAUGAACCCGUUUUCACUAUGAGAAAAAACCCUAUACACUCUUCCUGGUGUGCACUCUGCAAAGUCGGUGUGCCAACAAUUCUGAUGAGCUCUGCUUCCUCCAUAUGUCUACACUUCUCAACACAUGAAGCCAACUGAAAAGAAGACGACAGUCUCAUCACUUUCUCUUAUGUGAAGUUGCCCCCUUUGAUUGUUUUGCAGAGGCUUUCUUCGCAUUUGGGUGUGGAGUUACUCUCUGAAUGACCCUUUUCGGUUCAUCCGGCUUCAUAUGGGGAUCAACCUCCUCAUACUGUAUCGGCUUAAUGAUAACACCAGGCUUCUUAACAAUCUGAAAAAUAUAGGAGGUACAACAGUGAAUAGAAACUUAAUCAACAGGCACUUCAAAACAAAUGGCAGGAGUCAGUGUACUUGUGAUUAAUUUGUUAUUACCAACUCGAAAGUUAGGUCCUGAGAACAUGACAUUAGGCAGGUUUUACAAUCAAGAUAUGACUCAAUAAUCGUGUCACUAUUCACCAUUCCAUGUCCGCCAUUUUGAUGUAGCUACAGAGAAAAAGGAAACCUAAACAGAUGCUGGUUGGCAUAAACAAACAUCCUGGUUGCACAUGUAAAACAGACAGUACUGUAUGUACUUGAAUAUAAUGCAAAUCUGACAAGGCAAAACCAGUUGCUUUCAAAGUAGACUAUUGAAUCACCUAUGUGAUUCAGACAUCCUCAAGUAUAUGUACUAAAUUAAUAGUUCUUAACAGUCCGAUGAAUCAGCAAGAUGAACUCACCGCAGGUCGAUUGAGAGCAGAAACUGAUAUCGCUGGGUUGAAAUCAGGUCCAAUAGGCAUACGGAUGCUCUGCUCGUAGACAUCCUUCGAAGUGUAAGGGAAAGGCAAAUUCCUCACUAAAUACUUCUCAACCUGCAAAGUGCAAAGCAGCAAAAAUUAUAGCUUGUUCAAGCAUUUCUAAAAAAACUAAAGAAACAUCUCAGCACUAAGCAUCCAGGCAGAAGGAAACAAUACAUCUAGAUACGCUUUUCCAGAAUUAUAAUAGAAUACCAAAGGUAUGAAUUAUAGAUAAACAACAUAAAUAUAACAUAUAGCGAACAUGUUGCACAUAACAAAUCAAAUAGACAUUUACCUUCUUAUCCACAUGUUCAGAAAUAAUAACGUGCUUAAGCUUUGCGUCCUUCCUCCUCUUCAAGGCUUCUUCUCUAUUCCUUUUAGCAAUUGCAUGUUCUUUGAUCAUCCAUGAUGGAAGUCCUUUUUUCUGCUGGAUGUCCGUCCACUGGCCCCAGCCAGGAACAAGAGCAGGUUUUUCAGGUUCAGGGUUCUCUUCAUUUAAAACUUCCAUUUUGUCCUUCUCAAAGUCAGCUUCAACAUCAUCACCAGCAAAAGCCUGGCGUAUGAGUUCAGCUUGCGAUGGAAGUUCAUAGUUUUCCUUUGUGUCAGACAUGGUCAAGAAGCCCUCAACCAUCUCUUCCUCUGAAUCUGAAUCAGGAUUGCUACCCUGUUGCUACUCAAAAACAAAGUGGAAAACAAAAUCAGUGAAACAACCAACUGGAUAUAGAAUCAAGAACCACAUAUCAUAGUUAAGACAAACCUUAGGAUUUGGAUCUACAAUAGGUGGAGCCUGUAAUUUGGAUUUAUUGGUAACGCCAUUGACAUUGCUAUUGCCAUUUCCUUUGCUACUGUUGACCUGGUGAAAACAAGAGACCAUAAGCUUAAAAAAAAAGCAAGGCGAGGAAAAAAAUAGCUGUGAGUGCAAGCAUAAGUACCUUUUUCCAGGAAUCACCAGCUAACAUUCCAACUUCAAAUGUUGUCUUAGGACCUGGAUUUUUCAUGAUAUCAUCGAAGCUCUACAUAAUGCAACUACAAAUCAGAAUACUGUAACAUAAAUUACAUGAUUUAAUAACUUGAAUGUAUAAACACCUUACUUUGUAAAGAUCAUUCUGUUCAUCAUCCAGCAGUGCAGUCCCAAGUUGUAUGUCAUCUUGCUUUGUAGUUGGUUCAUUGUUGCCCAAGUGUUGGGCAGGGUCAGAAUCAUACUCACUAUCACUACUCUCAGUUUCGUGUAGUUUUUGCCUCUUAUUUACAUCUUCAUGUGUAUUUUUGGCAGGCCCAAAUGUUCUUUUACCUGUCACCUUAAUUGAAUCUUCAUUCUGUUCAGUGUUAUCGUCCUCCAAUUUCCUCAAGGAAUCAUCGUAGUCUUCAAGAGCUUGUCGUGCUUCCUCAUAAGCUGCUUCCUCCUGUUUUUUCAUAGCACGCUCCUGUAGAUAAGCACAGAAAUGUGAUAAUUGGGGUGAGAGGGUGACAGAAUCACAAUGUUGCUAACAAAUAUACUUUUGCUAAACAAAUGCACAAAGGGCACGGGAAAUGAAAGUGCACCAUGAAAGGCAACGAAAAAACUCCUGAAUUUGGUAUCUCUUUAUCUUCUUCAAGAACUUUAAGAAUCUUUUCUUUCCCUCUGUUUAAGAUUUUUGCUUCUGAGUCAUUCUCAUCUUCGUCAUCAUCUGAACUUUCCUCACUGCUAGAAUCAUCUUUCAUGGAAUUCAUUUUUCUAGUCAGAAGAGCAUUUUGUUGGAGUUGUGCUGUAAUAGCAGCUCGUGUGCCUUCAUCUUGAACAGACAAUCCACGCUUGAGGAUUCGUUUUGCCCAUUUCGAUGUAUUCUUGUGCUUUAAUGUCAUCCUUUCCUGUAAAUAAUCUCAACAUAAAUUAACGAUGUUUUGGGGGAGAGAAAUGAGUAAGCUAUCCGACAAGAGAAAAAGAAAUGAGCAAAGAUUUACCUCUGCACGUUUAAAUUCUUGUUUCAUAGCAUAAUCUUUGAUAGCUUCAGGAUCUGCCUCAAAUUCUGCUGAUGCUACCUUCAGUUUGUCCUUCUUCAACAUUCGGUGAUAUGUCCUGGACUUGAUCUUCUUCACACGUUUUGCUUUCAUCUCAUGACGAAAUAGAAGGCUGCGCAUUUUAGCAAGGCGGUUUUGGCGUUCUCUCACAUCUUCCACAUCAAUCUACAUAAGUUAAUUUAACCUAUUUAGCAAAAAAUGUUCCAAGGCUUGGAAUAUGCAGCAUAACAUUAAACAUGUUCAAUGAACAAAAACAUAUUAGUCAGCACUGAUAUGGUACCUAGUUAAAUUCAGUUGAACUGAUGAAGUGCAAUGAGAUCAUCAACAUACCUUGUUGAGUUCCAGGAUUUUGGCACCGUCAUUCUUGUGUGCCUCCAUUAUUUCACUGCUUCGUGUAAUCUCAGCCAUUCUCUUCUCAAACUCACUCCUUGGUUUAAACUUGCUUGCAAUUGCCGCAACGGUGUUCACACCCAAGUUGGCAUCAUUUUCAAAGAAUAGUGUAGGAGCUUCACGGUUGCCCUUCACAUUUCUCUCCCACUUUGUGAGCUCACGCUUGAGUUCCUGAUUCGCCACGCCACGCUCAAGCUUCUCCCUAUCCACUUUUGGAAGUGGGGCAGCCACAAUCAUUGUUUUUUUCUCCUGCUGCUGCAGCCUCUUACGGACCUUGCUAUACCCAGGCUUUCCCUGGAUAUUAUCCAAGAGAUCAUGAAUUGUGACAGGUCCAUCACCAUGCUGCAAUGGCAGCUCCGACGGCUGUUUCCUCUUCUUUCCUGUUUUUGACAAAUUAUUUCAGAUUCUGAACCACGAAUGAUAAACAAACUCAAUUUUCACCAUCAGCAUCAAUGGUUCAAGAGAAAUGUGAUUUUAGCAUACAUUUUUUAGAGUUUUGGCUUUUCUAUUUAUGAGAGCUAUUCAACAUUGUUCAGCACCUAACGUUUUGGCAGGAAAGAGCAGCCCUUUCAAGCCUUCAACGAAAGAUCCAUCUCUGUACGCAAUGUGUCUAUGAGAAUAUCUUUUAUGCAAUGUCUAAGGAUUCACAAAAAGUUUACCAUCAAAGGCUUCUCUAGGCAUUCCAGUCGUUUCCUGAAGUAUUCUUAUCUGCUUCUCCUCAUCCUCACCAUCGUCAUCUUCCUCCAUAUCCUCACCUUCCUCCGAAGGCACAUCCUCAUCCUAAAACACAAAUGCGAACGCAAUUUAUCGCAAGUACCAGAGCAACUAAAAUGCCUACCAAUGUCGCAUCAAUUUCUUCGCUGGUUCGCACAAAAAUACACCCUUUUUUUCUUUGUUGCGCAGCAAGUCGAGCCGCGGCUAGUUAGUCUCUACAACAGACCCUCAAACGCACAAGAGAGAAGUAAGGGGGUCACCGCACCGCCUCCGAGGCGUCGCUGUCGAACUCGUACUCAUACUUGGCGACGGCGUCGUAGCGGCCGUUCUUGCCGGCCUCCUCCUCGGGGACCCCCUCCUCGUACUCGUACACGUCCUGGGCACCCGCGUCGGAGAGCUCCUCGUCGUCGGAGCCGCCGGGACCCAUCGCGUCGAGCUCCCGGCGCAUCGCCGUGGGGAGGCGGGGCCCGUGGCGGCGCUUCUUCUCGGGGCCGAGGGCGGGCUUGCCGCGCCGCAUGGCGGGUUUCUUCGGCAUUAGAGCGAGGAUCAGAGCGGUGGAAGGAACCGGCGGCGCUGUGCUCGGCGGCGUGGCAGGGAGGACGGGCGCCGAGCGUGUCUGCGUAUGGCGCCGGGACUCGAGGCGCGUCGAGCGGCUGGCGGCUAGGGUAUGCUCGUUCUCGCUCGUGAGGAGUGAAGGACACGGGAAGACGGGAGAUGGGCUUCCAGAGAAUUUUUUGUGUUUGGAUGUGUUGGGUACUUGGGCCGGCAAUUGAGGUAUUUAGAAUUGGGCUUUAAAUACAGACAGAAAAAAACCACUUCCUAGCCAUUCUUCUCUAUUCUCUAACUUCUUUCUACUGCUAGCUCGACUCCUUUCAAAAAAGACCGAGCAGCUCGGCCUGGCCCGUGCUAGCCGGUCUGAAAAAAAGCCCGAAAAGACCGGCUCGAAAUCUGUUCAUGGACGGGCUUAUCAUGUUUUUUUCCCCGAGGCUGUUUGCCGGGCUUGGCCCGAGCCUGGGCAUGCUCUCUCUGCUAAGCCAAUUGAUGUUUUUUUUUCCUCUGAUUCUAAUACAUGUGCAUUUAUUAAGGAUUCAGAAAACAAAAUGGAUUGCACAACCUUCAACCACAACUAAUAUGAAUUAUUAGAGAUAACAUGGUCACUUCUCACAGCUACUCAUUUGUCCAGAAUUGUCUAAACGAACACUUAUUUUUGACUAAGAUUUUAAGUUUUAAGAAAAAAAAAACUCAACCCAUGAAGCUGGAACAGAAGCACAAAGGCUGAGGGCGAUACAAGCUAGCGAAGCAAAGGCCUGAACUUCCUCCAUUAUUGACCAACGCAUUGCAAUUGCAUCGGCAAACAUCACAACUUCACCUCCCAUUUCUCAUGUAGAGUUCCACAUGUAAAUCCAAUGUUUCCUAAGAUCUACUACGUUAAAAAGUAUUGGCAGAUGUGUAUUCGAUGGUGAGAAUUGCCUAGAGGAAGCAAGCGGGGGUGGGCAUCACAGGUGGCAAGCAAAGAGAUGGGAAGAGGAUAUUGGAUUUUAUGUAAAUUAUGGAAAGAAAAUAAAAAAAAGGCCUUUUGCCAAGCGCAAACUCCUCGUUGUGUUUCGCUUUUGUAAAUCAACAUUUGGAACUGCUGCUCCAUAUUCUCUAUCUUAAUAAAAAGAUAUUAAAAUUCUUUUGUGUAUUUGGUAAUUUUUUUAUUGGAAUGAGGGGAAAACACCUUUCACAUUGGAAUAAAAAUAGAAUGAUACUUUAAAAAAAAA
RNAcentral lists this long non-coding RNA (10242 nucleotides) under Setaria viridis. Its description in RNAcentral is "long non-coding RNA (SVIR_LNC011281)". Lineage: Eukaryota; Viridiplantae; Streptophyta; Magnoliopsida; Poales; Poaceae. The record is from RNAcentral.